RNAcentral lists this transfer RNA (72 nucleotides) under Camelus bactrianus (Bactrian camel). It matches the Rfam family "tRNA". Rfam says of the family: Transfer RNA (tRNA) molecules are approximately 80 nucleotides in length. Their secondary structure includes four short double-helical elements and three loops (D, anti-codon, and T loops). Lineage: Eukaryota; Metazoa; Chordata; Mammalia; Artiodactyla; Camelidae. The record is from Rfam by way of RNAcentral. RNAcentral also lists the same sequence under 2 other names.
GAGGGUAUAGCUCAGUGGCAGAGCGCGUGCUUAGCAUGCACGAGGUCCUGGGUUCAAUCCCCAGUACCUCCA